This 269-nucleotide ribosomal RNA is filed under the name uncultured prokaryote. RNAcentral describes it as "partial 16S ribosomal RNA". It matches the Rfam family "Bacterial small subunit ribosomal RNA", at positions 524 to 792 of the family's 1533-position model. The record is from RNAcentral.
UACGUAGGUGGCGAGCGUUAUCCGGAAUUAUUGGGCGUAAAGAGCGCGCAGGUGGUUGAUUAAGUCUGAUGUGAAAGCCCACGGCUUAACCGUGGAGGGUCAUUGGAAACUGGUCGACUUGAGUGCAGAAGAGGGAAGUGGAAUUCCAUGUGUAGCGGUGAAAUGCGUAGAGAUAUGGAGGAACACCAGUGGCGAAGGCGGCUUCCUGGUCCGUAACUGACACUGAGGCGCGAAAGCGUGGGGAGCAAACAGGAUUAGAUACCCGCGUA